This 253-nucleotide ribosomal RNA is filed under the name uncultured bacterium. Its description in RNAcentral is "partial 16S ribosomal RNA". It matches the Rfam family "Bacterial small subunit ribosomal RNA", at positions 524 to 776 of the family's 1533-position model. The record is from RNAcentral.
UACGUAGGGUGCAAGCGUUGUCCGGAAUUAUUGGGCGUAAAGAGCUCGUAGGCGGUCCAUCACGUCGGGAGUGAAAAGCUGGGGCUUAACCCCAGUCCUGCUUCCGAUACGGGUGGACUAGAGGUAGGCAGGGGAGAACGGAAUUCCUGGUGUAGCGGUGAAAUGCGCAGAUAUCAGGAGGAACACCGGUGGCGAAGGCGGUUCUCUGGGCCUUACCUGACGCUGAGGAGCGAAAGCGUGGGGAGCAAACAGG